Molecule: unclassified non-coding RNA, 796 nt
Filed under: Plagiobasis centauroides
Lineage: Eukaryota; Viridiplantae; Streptophyta; Magnoliopsida; Asterales; Asteraceae
Description: partial external transcribed spacer
Source: RNAcentral
UGCCUUGAACAUGGACAUGUGGGCAACCCUGGCCAAUGAAUUGGGCGUUGUGGCCUGGCAACGCUACUGAGGCCAAACGACCCGCUGAUCCUCGUUUAAAACAUUUCGAGUUACCUAAUAGUGACUCGAUGUGCUAAGAACAUGGUGUUGCGGGUCAAGGCAAGCUGACGGGCGACCUGUUGAUCCUUAUUCGAAGUGCGCUUGGUUGUCCUAGCUCGGCUAGGCACUAGACGUCAGUAGGAGACGGUGAUACAGGUGUGCAUCGAGGCAUGACGGAUUCUUUAAUUUUGUUUGUUACUUUCGCAUCGUUCGGUGCAUUCUGGGGGCUGUUUUGGCUUUUGGUUGCUUGCUUGGCUUUUCGCUGGGCGGGUCGCUAAUAGUCGGGCGGUUGGUGUUUGGUUUGUUACGGGUGGUUGGCUGUCUGCUCGCGCAGCAACGUCCACGCGUGCAUACCUCUUCAGUAUUGCGGCAAGGCUUCGAUUGUCUUGAGCAUCUUGUGGGUUUCCUGUGUUGCAUACCUAAUUGAUGGUACCGUGUGGUUUUAUGAUGUCCCUUUUCGUCAUGCGUCGCUCAUGCGGCGUGGGAUGAACAUCGAAGCGGUCUUUGUGGUCCACCUCCUCGUUGCAUUUGAAAUGAUGAUGUGGCCUAUGAAGCAUCGUUUGGUCUCUUGUAUACGGAACCUGAUGUGGGCAUGGGUCUYUUAAGAUCCUAAAUCUGCCCUCGUUAAGCGUUCUCGCUUCUCUAAAACGAUUGUCUGCCAUGUCUUGGCUUGUCCUUGCAUGGUGGGCUACGUCGA